This 447-nucleotide ribosomal RNA is filed under the name uncultured bacterium. Its description in RNAcentral is "bacterial SSU rRNA". It matches the Rfam family "Bacterial small subunit ribosomal RNA", at positions 355 to 825 of the family's 1533-position model. The record is from RNAcentral.
UGGGGAAUCUUGCACAAUGGGCGAAAGCCUGAUGCAGCAACGCCGCGUGCGGGAAGAAGGCCCUCGGGUUGUAAACCGCUUUCAGAAGGAACGAAACUGACGGUACUUUCAGAAGAAGGUGCGGCCAACUACGUGCCAGCAGCCGCGGUGACACGUAGGCACCAAGCGUUGUCCGGAUUUAUUGGGCGUAAAGAGCUCGUAGGCGGUUCAGUAAGUCGGGUGUGAAAACUUUGGGCUUAACCCAGAACGGCCAAGUGAUACUGUCGCGCUAGAGUGCAGAAGGGGCAAUCGGAAUUCUUGGUGUAGCGGUGAAAUGCGUAGAUAUCAAGAGGAACACCUGAGGUGAAGACGGGUUGCUGGGCUGACACUGACGCUGAGGCGCGAAAGCCAGGGGAGCAAACGGGAUUAGAUACCCUUGUAGUCCCUGAGCGGGCUGGCAAGGCGCAU